GGCCGCCUGGCGUAAUGGCAACGCGUCUGACUACGAUUGGUUCAUAGUAGCCGUCUAAGAGAUUGCAGGUUCGACCCCUGCGGUGGUCA
Non-coding RNA from Trametes coccinea BRFM310, 89 nucleotides. The record is from the annotation of a GenBank genome assembly. Lineage: Eukaryota; Fungi; Basidiomycota; Agaricomycetes; Polyporales; Polyporaceae.